GACGAACGCUGGCGGCGUGCUUAACACAUGCAAGUCGAGCGGUAAGGCCCUUCGGGGUACACGAGCGGCGAACGGGUGAGUAACACGUGGGUGACCUGCCCUCCACUCCGGGAUAAGCCUGGGAAACUGGGUCUAAUACCGGAUAGGACCGACUGGUGCAUGCUGGUUGGUGGAAAGUUUUUUCGGUGGGGGAUGGGCCCGCGGUCUAUCAGCUUGUUGGUGGGGUGAUGGCCUACCAAGGCGACGACGGAUAGCCGGCCUGAGAGGGUGAUCGGCCACACGGGGACUGAGACACGGCCCAGACUCCUACGGGAGGCAGCAGUGGGGAAUCUUGCGCAAUGGGCGGAAGCCUGACGCAGCAACGCCGCGUGAGGGAUGACGGCCUUCGGGUUGUAAACCUCUUUCGCGAUCGACGAAGGUCAUGCUUUUUGCAUGGCUGACGGUAGGUCGAGAAGAAGCACCGGCCAACUACGUGCCAGCCGCCGCAGUAACAC
Molecule: ribosomal RNA, 494 nt
Filed under: uncultured bacterium
Lineage: Bacteria
Description: bacterial SSU rRNA
Rfam family: Bacterial small subunit ribosomal RNA
Source: RNAcentral